Molecule: long non-coding RNA, 8223 nt
Filed under: Musa acuminata (dwarf banana)
Lineage: Eukaryota; Viridiplantae; Streptophyta; Magnoliopsida; Zingiberales; Musaceae
Description: long non-coding RNA (MACU_LNC010906)
Source: RNAcentral
AUCUAUGCUUCUUGUGAGGGAGAAUAUUGGCUUCAAGAAUGCAUCCAGGUAGCUAUGCUUCGUACUAAGCAUAUCAUGGUACUGAGUUGAUGAUCUACAUAUUAAAUAAAUUUAAUAAACAACAACGAUAUUUUUGGGUGACAAAGAAUAGUAUACAUUUAUCUUGUUAUAGAUUUAUAUUCGUAGGCAAUUUUGUUUCACAUAUUUUUGGAAGAUUUUUCUCAAAUACAUUGUGGAUUUUGAGCCAAUAUAGUCAAUUGCAAUAUUCUUCUUCUAAACUGCUUGUUCGAAAUGACUCUUCAUCUUCGCCUUUGUGGAUUUUCAUUGGCAUCGUCUUUGGCCUUCUUACUCAAUUUAAAUUGGAUUUUCACAAUAAGCAAAGCAAAUCUAUCUAUCUUACUCGUCAUCAGGGGGUGAGUGUGAGUUCUUUUUUUUUUUCCCCACCAUUUGUCUCUUUUAUUUUCUUUGCAGUAGCAUCAUCAUUUGCUCAGCUAUUAUUAAUGUCAAAGGCCAUCAUUAUUUGUGUUAAGGGCUACUUACGGGAGGAAUGUUCCCUGCUCUUAUUGUAUUUGUCAAAGGCCAUCAUUUUUUGUCAUAUUUCAUUAAUGUCAAAGACUAUCAUUUGUCUUUAUGAAGCUUUUCGACUUUAUCAUCUCUCUCACCAUGCUUUUAGCAUUCUCACACUACUUACCUUUUCAUAUUUUACAUCAUUUGUAUUUUACAUCAUUUGUUUUUUAGGUUGCUUCUAUACGAGGAAUGUUAUUCAAUAUUCUGUUCUUAAGAAUCAAAUCAAAUCAUAUCAUAUCAUAUCAUAUCAUAUACAUUUUGCCCAUGCUUGUAUAUCAAAUCAUAUCAUAUCAUAUACAUUUUGCCCAUGCUGUAUAUUUUGCCCAUGCUUGUAUAUCAAAUCAUAUCAUAUCAUAUACAUUUUGCCCAUGCUGUAUAUUUUGCCCAUGCUUGUAUAUCAAAUCAUAUCAUAUCAAAUCAUAUACAUUUUGCUCAUGCUGUAUAUUUUGCCCAUGCUUGUAUAUCAAAUCAUAUCAUAUCAAAUCAUAUACAAAAAUGUUAUCAUUUGCUUCUCUACUCUAAAUGACAUAAGAGGAUAGCGCUAUAUUUUUAUUAAUAGGAAUAAUAGUGGUAGCAGGCUGUAUAUUUUGGGUUUUGCCUAAAACCAAUACUUAAUUUUGGGUAGUUAAGUCUUGGAUAGCGCUAUAUUUUUAUUAAUAGGAAUAAUAGUGGUAGCAGGCUGUAUAUUUUGGGUUUUGCCUAAAACCAAUACUUAAUUUUGGGUAGUUAAGUCUUGUUUAGAGUUGUUUAGAGUUGCUUAGGAGGUAGUUUAGUCUAAUAUAAUCUCAUGAAUCUUUUUUUAAUGAAUCAAAAUUUUUUUAUUUUUUUUAUUCAUCAUAUAUGUUGCAAAAAGUUCUUAUGUUACAUAUAUAGAAGGAAUUAUUUAUCUGAUUGUUAAUAUUAUAUUUUGUUACAUAUAUUAAUAUUGUAAUGGAUUUUUUUUGUUACAUAUAUUAAUAUAUUACAUGUAUUAUAGCCAUAGUAGUAUUAUACAAUGGAGUUAUUAGGUAGGUAAAAAUUUAAAAAUUUCAGUAGAAUAUUAUGGCUAUAAUACACUACUGAAUUGAAUUAAUAUGCUCAAUUAGACUUUAUUAUUAGACUCUUUGGUCAAUAAUAAAGUCUAAUUGAGCAUAUUAAUUCAAUUCAGUAUAUGAGACGAAUAGAUAGGAAGUAGGUUGUCUUCAUUAAUCUAUUCACAAUGAUCCAAGUUUCAUCAUAUCACUUGUUGGUCUUAGGUCUUAGGUCUUAGGCAUAGUUAUAUCAUUCAAAAUUUUACAUUGUUGAUCUUAUAUUCAAUAUAGAGACAUCAUCGAAUUUUUGAUAAAGUAGUUAAAUUGGUUGAUUUUCUACCAAUUUAAACAUCAAUCAAGUUGAUUUUCUACCAAUUGUUGAUAAACUCUAUUGAGUUUAAACAUCAAUAGAGUAUUCAAUAUUAUUUAAUUAUAGAUAUGAUAAUAUUGAAUACAUAAACUCUAUUGACCUUGCAGGUUGAAAUACUACUCUUUUUUUGGUGUAAUGAUGUUUAAACAAUUAGUAUUCAAAUAAUAUAUUAAAAUCUUAUAUAUUCAAUAUUAUCAUAUAUUGAUAAUCUGAAUUGGACAAGAUUUAUGUAUUCAAAUUGUUGCCACAUUUGGACAAGAUUUAUGUAUUCAAAUUGUUGCCACAUUUGGUUUUAACUUUGGUUAACCAAUCCUUUGGUUUAAACUUCGGUUUCACCGUAUUGUUAACAAAAUAUUUUUUUGAUAUUUUGUGCAUCUGCUAUUUAAAAAUCUUCUACUUUCAUUAUUGAGAUAAAAUGGAUUGAUAUUAAAUUAGUAAAUACAAACUCUAUUGGCAGAGGCCAUACAUAGAGUGGACAUAAUCGAAAGUGGAAAAGGCCUUGUGAUGUGUUGGCAGAGGCCAUACAUAGAGGGAUCACAAUUUAAGUUCAUCCCAUAAGGAUCCGAAUGCAAUGAAGAUGUCAAAAACAUUCAAUCAAAUUCACAUCUAUAAUAAUGUAGUUUAUAAUAAUGUAUCACAUCAUUCGAUAAUUUGUAUUUAUGGCAACCCAAGCUAACUUAACAAAUAUGAACAACAUUUAUAAAUCUAUAAGCUAGGUAAUUUAUACAAUCAGAACUCUAAUCAUUUAUCAUAAGUUCAUAUCAUUGUAAACUAGACUUAACAUUCCGAAAUUUCGAAUAAGAGAGAUCUUCUAACACUUUUAUACGGUAUAUCAAUUUCGAUUCAUUGACAAUAUUUCAUUACAUACAAAAUAUGCUUAUAUAACAAUAACAUAAUAACUAACAAGAUUUGCCUAUAAUUUUGUAUAGCUCUCCAACUGCUUCACUCCAAUUCAAAACAUUUCAAAGAGUGACAAGUUGACAAUGAAGUGAGCUAAAAACAGCUCAAUAAAAAAAGCAUAUUCAGAACAAAAGGAAUGGUUUCAAACAAGUAAGAUAUCAUAAUGCAAGGCAGAAUACAAGAAUUUUCCCUGUCUCCCUCUUUUCUCUUUUGCACAUAAGGUGCUCGCUGAAUUGCUUGUAAAGCUUUCCCUUUUUGCGAGACAUCGGGACUUGUCCGUCGCUCGUUCUUUCGAACUAAUCAAUUUUCUCUUUUUACAGGUCCUUCGGGACCUACGAGAGGUUACAAGUGGGUUGAUCCUUCGGGACCUACGAGAGGUUACAAGUGGGUUGAUCCUUAGGCAACGCAAGCUAAGUUCACGUCUUUGCCGCAAGGGUGACUCGCGACGAAGGCAACGUAAGCUAAGUUCGUGUCUUUGGCCGCAAGGGUGCCUUAUGCUUUAGGCAAUUCCAGCUAAGGCCAUGACAGCGGGCUCUAAGCAUUUAUCCUUUACCAUUUCUGCCAAAGGUCUAAAUAAUCCCACAAACACCAGAGUACAAAAAGGUAUUAUGAAUAAUAAAUUGGGAUAUAUUAGAAACAUAUACGGACAAUGAAAUGCAUGUGUCGAUACGAAAUAUUACGAUACAAACAUGAACUUUACAUAAUAAGUUUCAAGAAUGCAAAUAAUUUUAAGGACAAGAGCAUACAAGAAUUCAAAGCAUUAAUAUAAACUUCAAUUGAACAAGAAAGCUAAAUGAAAUUAAUUUCCAAAGGAAUGAAAUCGGAAUAUGUGAAAUUGACCAAAACUCGAUUUAUGGCAAAAUUUGAGAGGUACAUUUAACAAGUGAUUUAAAUAUCAAUUGUGCUCCUCAAGAAAGCUAUUAUGAAAAGAUAUUUCAAUCUAUUUUCAGAUAAAACAAGUCUCGUAUGAAUCGAAGUUUUCAAUAAAGAGUUACAAUAGAUUUAACAACUCAAGAUCAAAGAACAAAUCUCAAUUUUACAAGAUUCACAAGGUCUGUUUCAACAUAAAACUGGAUAGGCAUUUGGACUCUAAAUCUUUCAAUCUAGGUAUCAAAUGAAAGAUCUACGAGUUUAGUUUAAAAUGAAAUAAGUUUGGAAUAAAUCAAAGUUUCCAAUAGGGACUUAUAUGUAGUUUAGUAUUAAAAGGUCAGAAAUUACGAUCCAUAGUUUGGACAAGGAAACUUACUUUGAAUUCUUAAAAUAAGCUAUCGAAAGAAAGGUUUAUGAGUAUAUAUUCAUAUCAAAUAAGUUUUGUCCAAAUCAGAAGUUAGUGCAUAAAGUUAUAACCAUAACAAGAUAGAAAGGUCUGAAUCUCAGAAGUCUCACAUAUUCAAAUUGUUAUGUCUAAAUAGGAGAUAUAUUAAAUGUAAGAUUAGAAUAAUUCAAAGUUCCUUAUAUUCAAAGCAAAUGUAGAGAUAAAAUUGUAGUAAGGAAAGAUUAGGACCACUUGCAAUACGAAAGAUUAGAAAGUUUGCAAUAGGAAGGAUUGGAACACUUGCAAUAGGAAAAGAUCACAUCACUUGCAAUAGGAAGAAUCGAAACACUUGCAGAAGAAAAGGUUUAGGACAUUUGUAAGAGAAAAGAGCGGGACACUUGUAAUAGAAAGGAUCGAAACAAGAACCUCUCUACAGAAUGGCACCGCUCGAGCUCGAGGAAUUGAAGAAGCAAAUACAAGAGUUAUUAGAUAAGGGUUUCAUUCGACCCAACGUCUCACCGUGGGGUGCUUCAGUGCUAUUAGUUAAGAAGAAGGAUGGGACGUUGAGGCUUUUGUAUUGAUUAUAGACAGUUGAAUCAGGUGAUCAUCCCGUUGAGGCUUUGUAUUGAUUAUAGACAGUUGAAUCAGGUGAUUUUUUUAGACCAUGUUAUUUCAAGAAAGGGCAUAUUUGUUGAUCCAAAGAAGGUGGAAGCAGUAGUUAAUUGGGAAGUGGCAAUAAAUGUAACAGAAGUUAGAAGUUUCUUGGGCAUGGUAGGUUAUUAUAAUAGAUUUAUGGAGGGAUUUUCUUAAAUUGCUCAUCCCCUCACCAAACUGACUCAAAAGAAUGUGAAAUUUGAAUGGAGUGGUGAUUAUGAGCAAAAUUUUCAAGAAUUAAAAAGAAGAUUGACUAAUGCCCUAUUCUCACUAUUCCGAGUGGUAAUGAAUGAUUUGUAGUUUAUAUUGAUGCUUCAAGAAAGGGCUUUGCCUUGGAUGUAUUUUGAUGCAAGAAGGGAAAGUAAUUGCUUAUGCUUUAAGGUAGUUAAAGAAUUAUGAAUUGAAUUAUCCGACUCAUGAUUUGGAAUUGGCAGCAAUCAUCUUUGUUUUAAAGAUUUAGAGACAUUACUUGUAUGGGCGGACAUUUGAUAUCUUUAUUGAUCACAAGAGUUUAAAGUACAUUUUUACACGGAAGGAGUUAAAUAUGAGAUAGCGAAGAUGGAUAGAACUUCUAAAGGAUUAUGAUUUUACCAUCCGUUAUCACCUAGGUAAAGCAAAUGUUGUAGCUGAUGCACUUAGUAGAAAAUCUAAAAGUUUUAUGGCUAGUCUGGUUGUGAAACAAUAGAAGCUAUUAGAAAGAAAUUAUGAUUCGAAUGUAAUGAGGAAAGGGUAAGACUCAUAAUGUUGAUGGUCUCUAUCCAGAUGCAAAUUGAUCUCAUUCAACAAAUUAAAGAAGGACAACUAUGAGAUCCACAUUUAAUAUACUUGAAAAGAGAUUGAAGUUGAAUUUUCAAAUUUCAGGUGAUGGCCUAUUGAGAUUUGGGGAUAGAAUAUGUGUUUCAAAUGACCCAGAUAUUAAGAAUCAAAUCUUGAACGAAGGUCACAAUUCAAAGUAUACUAUGCAUCUUGGUAGCACGAAAAUGUAUAGAGAUCUCCAAAGUCAUUAUUGGUGGAAACGUAUGAAGAAAGAAAUUGCAAUAUAUGUUUCAAGAUGUUUGACAUGUUAGCAAAUCAAAACAAAACACUAAAGACUUGGAGGUUUGUUAUAGCCCUUAGAUAUUUCUGAAUGAAAAUGGGAAUGCAUUACUAUGGACUUUAUUUCAGGACUACCCAGAACCUCUAGAAAGCAUGAUGUUAUUUGGGUCAUUGUCGAUAGGUUAACUAAAUCCACACAUUUCUUACCAAUCAAUAUGACUUAUUCUCUUGAUAGACUUGCAGAUUUGUAUGUUGAUGAAAUAGUAAGACUUCAUGGUGUUCCGAAGGAGAUCAUUUUGGAUAGAGACUCCACAUUUCUUUCUAGAUUAUGUAAGAGAUUACAAGAUUCUAUGGGCACCAAAGUAAAGUUUAGUACUGCCUAUCACCCUUAGACUGAUGGUCAAUCUGAAACUGAUGGUCAAUCUGAAAGAACAAUUCAAGUACUUGAGGAUUUGUUUAGAGCCUAUGUUAUGAAUUGGAGAGGUGAAUGAGAUAAAGAUAUUUCUCUUAUUGAGUUCACUUACAAUAAUAAUUACCAUUCGAGCAUUCAGAUGGCUCCUUAUGAAGCAUUGUAUGGGCGAAAGUGCAGAAUGCCUAUAUGCUGGGAGGAAGUUGGUGAUAGAAAGUUGUUAGCACUAGAUAAAGUACAAGAGACUACUGAAAAGAUUCAGAUUAUUAUAAAAAGGCUAAAGGCUACUCAGAGUCUAUAAAAGAGUUAUGUUGACAAUAGAAGACGAGAUAUCGAGUUUCAAGUAAGGGAUUUUGUAUUCCUAAAGGUCUCCCCUUCCAAAGGCGUCGUAAGAUUUGGAAAGAAAGGAAAGUUAAACCCAAGGUUUAUUGGACCUUUUGAGAUCUUUGAAAGAAUUGGCUCUGUCAUUUACAAGAUUGCCUUGUCACCAUCGAUGUGUCAUAUCCAUGAUAUAUUUUAUGUGUCAAUGCUCAGAAAGUAUAUACCUGAUUCCUCUCAUGUCAUUGAGUAUGAACCGAUUGUGAUUGAGAAAGACUUGUUUUACAAGGAAGAAUCUAUUCGGAUUAUUAAUAAAAAGGAGAUCUUAAGAAAUAGAAUCAAUACUCUGGUGCCAGUAAUUUGGAAGCAUCAUUCUACAAAUGAAACGACUUGGGAGCUAGAGGAAGAAAUGAAGAAAGUUUAUCCUCAUCUUUUCGCCAAAAGAGGUAUGACAAAUUUAGAGGACUAAAUUUUCUUUUAAGGAGGGGAGAGUGUAACAUCCCUCAUUUUUUUAAAAAAAUUAUAAGGACUUAUUUGUAAAUAUGAGGAUUUUUUUAAAUAAUUCUUUAGCACUAAAUUUUUUUUAUAUAUAUUGAAAGUAUUGUGAGGGACCAAAAUAUUUUUUUAAUAAUUCUUUAGCACUAAAUAAAAUGGAGGACUUGUGGUAAUAGCAAGGAUGAGCCACUUAUAUUUAUUCUAAAGAUAACACCUAAACCUCCAUACAUGCUUGCCACCUCACUAUUUUAGCAUGAGCUAAACUUAAGUAAUUUAAGACACAAUUAGGAAAACUUUGCAUACAAUGUAACUUGAGAAGAGGAGAAGGAAUUGAAGCAGAAGAGAAAGAAAGAAUUGAAGAAGAAGUUUUAUCUUGGCUUAAGGCUUUGCAUCAAUUCUCCCACAUUUGGAAAUCAAAACUUUUUAAGGCAAGUGUUCUAACCCAUCAUAGAGAUAAUUUUUUAUCCUUGUUUUCACCUUGAUUUUAAGAAAAUUGGAAGAUUGUGGCUGCAUGUAAGAUAUCUAUGUCGUUUAUAUAUCAAAUGUUGAAUUUAGAAUUUUUUAGAUUUUGACAUUUCAGUGCUUGUGUAGCCAUAACUUUUUGCACCAAAUUCAGAUUGAGGAAAAACCUCUUUCAUAUGAAAGCAGACUUAUAGAGCUUUCAUUUGAUAUAAAAAAUUUAAAGAUUUAGAGUAAAUUUACCUAUCCAAACAUAUGAAUGAAAAGAUCUCAUGUAUUCGAUAAAAUAGAUAUUACAACUUUUGACCUUCUGUUAUUAAAUUGCUCAUAACUCUCUAAUUGUUAUGUUUAAUGUUUAUUUUUGAAUGAGGUAACCCUUUGUGAUUUUUUUAUCGAAUGAGAUGAUUUCAAAUGAACAUUGGUAUUUAUGCUUUUGUUAUCUUGAUACUAAGCCUGCUUGAACUUCUCAUAUCGCCAUGGAUAUGUUAGUCGUUUGCUAAGCUCUUUAUGCUCACUCUGUUGCUAUAUAAAUUUUUCAGGGUAGCUUGUCACGCACUGAAAAGCUAGAAUUGGGUUGAAGCAGUGAAAGUCUAGAAGAUUUUUGGGCUAAUCUUUGUUGGUUGAUAGGUUUUUAUUGUAUAGUAUAUUUUACUUCUGAUUUAAUGUUAAGGAUAUAUUGAUACUUAUGUGUUGUAAAAGUUUAAAGGAUCGCUCAUGUUUAUGAAAUGAUAACUUUAAGUUGUAUAAGGAU